This 206-nucleotide ribosomal RNA is filed under the name Clostridioides difficile. RNAcentral describes it as "partial 16S ribosomal RNA". It matches the Rfam family "Bacterial small subunit ribosomal RNA", at positions 181 to 388 of the family's 1533-position model. Lineage: Bacteria; Bacillati; Bacillota; Clostridia; Peptostreptococcales; Peptostreptococcaceae. The record is from RNAcentral.
UUGAGAGGCAUCUCUUAAAUAUCAAAGGUGAGCCAGUACAGGAUGGACCCGCGUCUGAUUAGCUAGUUGGUAAGGUAACGGCUUACCAAGGCGACGAUCAGUAGCCGACCUGAGAGGGUGAUCUGCCACAUUGGAACUGAGACACGGUCCAAACUUCUACGGGAGGCAGCAGUGGGGAAUCUUGUACAAUGGGCGAAAGCCUGAUG